GAUCAUUUGUCCUGAAAUAUGCC
RNAcentral lists this non-coding RNA (23 nucleotides) under Arabidopsis thaliana (thale cress). Lineage: Eukaryota; Viridiplantae; Streptophyta; Magnoliopsida; Brassicales; Brassicaceae. The record is from RNAcentral.